RNAcentral lists this long non-coding RNA (3134 nucleotides) under Trifolium pratense (red clover). Its description in RNAcentral is "long non-coding RNA (TPRA_LNC006551)". Lineage: Eukaryota; Viridiplantae; Streptophyta; Magnoliopsida; Fabales; Fabaceae. The record is from RNAcentral.
AAUACUUGGAAUUGUCUUCUUUGCCAAGUUUUAGAAGCUUCUGUUAUGGGAAACAAACAUUCAUAUUCCCAUCUUUCAUAUAUUUCAUUGUUAAAGGGUGCCCUCGAAUGAAGAUAUUCUCAUCAGGAGUCACAGUAGCACCAUACCUGACAAAAAUUGAAGUGGAAGAAAGAAAAAAGAGAUGGAAAGGUGAUCUUAACACAACUAUUGAACAAUUGUUCAUAGAUAAGGUACACAAUUGUCAUUUUUAAUUAUGAAAAUUAUUUACUUAUUAUUCACAUAAUUAUCCUGAACACUUACUUGGAUAUAACCCUGAAUGAAAAAUGUUUGAGCACACACACAAAUAAUUAAAAAAAGCAGAGAAGAUUAUUCAAUGUGUUUGUGCCCAUGUAAGAAAUGCUCUAAUUACCAAGGCUUACAAUAUUAAUUUGGUGCAUGAUUGGACGGUGACUUUGAUAUUAACUAUGGAUAAAGAAAUGAAAUUUUCAUCGGUUAGUUAGUUAGUUAGAGUAAUAACUAUAUUCAGUUAACAUUCAGUUGUCAGUGAUUUUCUAUAAUAAAAUUAAGAACAUGCUGCAUUAACUUAUGUGUUGAGUUCUGUAAACUGUUAUAUUACUCAACUAUAUAAUCUCUAAACUAAUAAAAUUAACUAAAAGGUCUCUAAAAUAUUAUCUCAUCUUACUAUUUAGUUCCUCGUUUAACACACACUUAUUAAAUUGACCGUUUGUUGUACUUAAACUAUGAAAAUACAUCAUAAGUUUAACUCAAACUAUUAUGAAAAACAACUAAUUAGUUUCUAAAUAUUCAAUUUUUGUUGAUAAAGACACCAUCUCUUCUCUAACCCAAUAUAUAGUUUAUAGACAUUUUAGAUUUUUUUUUUUUUACAAUUUAUAGACAUUUUAGUUGAUUUUUAUAGUUUAGGGACUAAAUAGUCUGCGAAACAAUAGUUUAGGACCUUUUAGUUGAGUGUUUAUUUCUAUAUGUUACAUACCUUAAUGUCGCAAGGAAAUUAGGGCCAGUUUGGUGCGCAGGAUAGGAUAAGAAGUUGGAUAAUGAUAGGAUAUGAUAGUGACAGGAUAAACACAUAUCCUAUCAUAUGUUUGGUUCAUACAUGAUAAGAAAAAGGAUAAUUAACAUUAUUUUUUCCUAUCUUGUGUUUGGUGUAUACUUGAUAUUGACACGAUAAGAUACAUGUUAUAUAUAAAUGACAAUUAUUAAUACACUUUUUUUUAUAAACAUAAUUUUAAAGAAUAGGUACCAAUAAAAAAAUUCUUCUUACAAAUGAAAUAAAUUGUAGGUUAAAGACUAUCUAUCUAGAUCAUGAACCUUUUGAAGAUGAAUAAUUGUAGUUUACAAUAUUAUUACACAUGAUUAAAUAAUGGUUAAAACCAAUUUUGAUAUGCCUCUUGAUAUGUUAAUUAAUUUGACUGAACAGGUUGCAUUUCGUAAUUUUAAUUGUUUAGCCUUAUCUGACUACCCGGAGCUAAGAGAUUUGUGGUAUGGCCAACUUAAUCACGAUGUGUUUUGCAAUCUGAAAUCCCUAGUAGUGGAAAGAUGUGAUUUUUUAUCACAUGUACUUUUACCAUCAAAUGUAAUGCAAGCGUUGCAUGGAUUGGAAGAAUUAGAAGUAACAGAUUGUGAUUCAUUAGAAGCUGUGUUUGAUGUGAAAAGUAUGAAGUCUAGAGAAAUAUUGAUAAAACAAAGCACUCAGUUGAAAAGUUUGACUUUAUCUAGUUUGCCAAAAUUGAAGCAAAUAUGGAAUGAGGAUCCUCAUGAAAUUAUCAGCUUUGGAAACUUAUGCAAGGUGGAUGUUUCUAUGUGCCAAAGCUUGCUAUAUAUCUUUCCAUUGUCACUAUGCCAAGAUCUUGGAAAUCUUGAAAUGCUUGAUAUAGACUCUUGCGGAGUUGAGGAAAUUGUAGCAGUGAAAGAAAGAUCAGUGGAAAUCAAUUUUAAUUUUCCCCAACUGGAUACAUUGGUACUUUGUGAUUUGACAAGCCUUAAGAGCUUCUAUCGGGGAAAGCAUGCUUUACAGUGCCCUUCCCUGAAGAUUUUGAAUGUAUACCAUUGUGAAGCAUUAAGAAUGUUUUCAUUCAACCAUUUAGACUUCCAACAGCCUAACAAAGCAGACGGAAAUCCCAUCAUACCUCAACAAGCUCUAUUUUCUAUUGAAAAGGUAAAUCCAAGCAUACUUUUUUUUCCCUCUCAGUUUAGCCCCAACCUCGUAAACUAGUAUUAAUUUUGAAUGUUUAAUUUAAUUGAUUAGGUUACCUCAUAAACUAGUAUUAAUUUGUUUUUCAGUUGAGCCCCAACCUGGAGGAAUUGGCAAUAAAUGGCCCGGAUGUGAUGGAGAUAUUGAAUCAAGAAAAUGUCUUUCAUAAAGUUGAAUUUCUUCGUUUGCAAUGCUUCGAUGAAACUCCAACUAUUUUUCUGAAUGAUUUCUUUACCACAUUUCCACAUCUUAAAAGAUUUCUAGUGCGUAAUAGUUCUUUUGAAACAUUGUUCCCCACUAAAGAAACCACUGAUCAUCUCAAUAUGCAUGUUUCAACUCAAAUAAUAAGUUUCUAUCUUUAUGAAUUGGAAAAUCUCAAGCAAAUCUGGCAAAGAAGACUUCCCAUUGGAUCAUCCUCUGUUACAAAAUCUUGAAGAGUUAUUUGUAGGGGAUUGUCCAAGUUUGAUAAACUUGGUACCAUCGUCAUCUUUCACAAAUUUAACAUAUUUGGAAGUGGAUAACUGCAAAGAGCUUAUUUAUUUAAUAACAUCCUCAACAGCUAAAAGUCUUGUACAACUCACAACAUUAAUAAUAAUGAAUUGUGAGAAGAUGUUGGAUGUUGUGAAGAUUGAUGAAGAAAAAGCAGAGGAAAACAUCAUAUUUGAAAACUUGGAAUACUUGGAAUUGUCUUCUUUGCCAAGUUUUAGAAGCUUCUGCUAUGGGAAACAAACAUUCAUAUUCCCAUCUUUCUUACGUUUCAUUGUUAAAGGGUGCCCUCAAAUGAAGAUAUUCUCAUCAGGAGUGAUAGUAGCACCAUACCUGACAAAAAUUGGAGUGGAAGAAGGAAAGAAGAGAUGGAAAGGUGAUCUUAAUACAACUAUUGAACAAUUAUUCAUAGAAAAGGUACACAAUUGUCAUUUUUAAU